CUUACAUAGAUUUUUUCCGCUGCUCCACAUGAAAUUUCGUCACCUUACACGUUAAGAGACCAUGCCCAUGUAUAAACUACCCUAGACUACUCUUCAUUUUGAAUUAAAACGUGAUAGAUUAUUAAUCCGCUACUUGGCCCCUCUUCCCUCCCCUACGGGGCCGCCGCAGGGUUGGUAUAAAACGAGGGGAGCGUCGUUUGAGGGCAUCUUUCGCCCACUCAUCUUCCUCCUACUCACAGAUCGGGCGUCCCAGUCUCUGCCACACCCACACACACCCACCACACACAGCUACACGAACCCGUGUAUCCACCCCGAUGUGUUCUUUUAGUUGUUAAACUCAAUAUUCCUAUUCUCUCCGCAGUAGGAGUUGUAGGAGAGAGCCCUGUAUGCGUUCUUGGAGCCAUACCAGGGGUAGGAAACGGGGAAUCGAGUCCCCCUUACAAUUCCCUCCUGCACUCCCUAUUGCGGGAAGUAUUUUUGGGAGUAUUUAGGCCAGUAAUCUGUGCUUUACCUGUAGUGUAAGAAAUGUUAGUGAAUUAAGAGGCUGUAUGUUUGUGUCUUUACGACGGAGAUGGUUCUCGUCGUGUAUAGGUUUUUCCCGGAAAUGUAACGUUCCCCCUCUCUGAGUCUCUUUCAUACAUCUUAUGUACCUGGUUUUUACAAUAAUUGUACACCCGCCCAAGGGUAAAGAUUUCGUGGAGAAUCCUCAGCCUUAUUCUGGUUACCAUAGUGAGAGGAGAAAACUAGAAAUCAGUCGUGUGUCCAUUCGCCCAUUUCCGUCAAUUUCGGGAAAAUCGUGCCUUCAAUGAGGAAAUAAUUAUAAACCGUGUCGUCAGGUAUGCGGCGCCUAUGUAUUGCCUUCUAAACUAAGUCACAGGAAUAAAUGUAAGCACUCCUAUAUAUAGGCCUUUAUUUCUUGUCACUCCCCGAUGUGAGAUUUGUCCGGCCGGCUGUGAGUUAAACUAACCAUUUACCGCCCCCGAGCCUGCCCCGCUCACCUCGCUACCCUGCCCAAGGAAUCAGAGUCUCGCUCUGGGUCAUUUUAAUCCCUCAUUAAAUCCUUAGUCCUUUAUAUACAUAUACUCUUAAGGUUCCCAGUGAGCUACCGGCGACAUAGUUCAUCGGUAGAUCUCUGGGCGGUGGCAGCAAAACUACCCCCAGGGUGAGUCCCCCUUGUUCUCCUCAGAUAUCCCUAGGUGAAUUCCCUUUUUUUUUUUUACAACAUUUAGUGUCCCGAAUUUCCGGGCACGACACCAGCAGUAGACAAGAGAUAUGGAGGGAAGAGAGAGAAAAUAACAAGAGAACGGCGAGGGAAGUGGCUGGCAAGUCUGGCAAGAGCUGACUUAUCCGAGGCUGGAAAAAGGCAUCUCCUCGUGUGCAGUGAUCAUUUUUUGAGUGGACGGCCAGCAGUCCUUGAGGAUACUAGUAAUCCAGACUGGGCCCCAACACAGAACCUUGGUCAUCGUAAAGUGUCCCAGGAAUUGGUCGCCAUCAGUUGUGCUCGGCAUCAAAGGAUCCAGGAGAGAAAGUUGAAGAAGGAUAAGGAGAUGUUUAUGGCAGCGCAGACACUCAUGGACAUAUAGGAAUACACUCAACCUUGCCAUGACGAAGUUCAUGUUGAACAACAGGAACAGUUGUCCCUACUAGCCAUCGGCCAGACAUUUCAGACAGAGAAGCAAACCAUUGUGUCUAGACCAGCUGCCUGCCAGACAGAAACAGUAACAGUUGCAACUGUCGGCUGCCAAAGAGACCUCACCCUAAUGGAGACGACCAUGUUUGAUCAGCAGGAUGAGGACUUGAACCAGUUACGAACAGAGGUGUAUGAACUCCGUUCUACAGUAGGUGACUACAAUAACCUCAACCUCAGUAAUGAUGAUGAAAAAGUCCUUUUUAUACAGGGCUGCCAAACUAUGCUGUACUGAUGUGCAUUUUUUAUUAUGUUUGCCUUAAUAUUACCCAUUCAAUUAAUUCAAAGCUAUCCCCGUUUCAAGAAUUUGUUAUGUUUCUGAUGCAUCUUCGUUUAAACACAUGCUUCCAGGAUUUGGCCUACAGAUUUAAUGUAUCUCUUUCAACUGUGUCAAGGAUAUUUUAUAAAUGGGUAGAUACAGCAGAUACAAAAUUAAGACAUUCCAUUGUAUGGCCUACUGGCACAAUAGGCUGGGAAGAAAAUAAAUAAAAAAUAGAAAAAUAAAAAUCAGUCGACACACACACACACACACACACACACACACACACACACACACACACACACACACUCACCCUGAGAAAUUCCCCUUGCAGUAGGGUUGGGGGAGGGGGGGGGCAGUGUUCCAGCACCAGCAGCACCCCCACAUAGGAUGAGAGGAGUGCACCAUCAGGGGGGACGGCUGCUGCUCGGGGUUGCUGGCUAAGACGAGGGAGACACAGUUAGAGGGGCAGCCAUAUUAGAAUCUCUUGUUGAUAUUGAUAAGUUUAAAGCAAGAGUCAACAGCUGCCUGCCACCUUUUGUUAACGGGUGAUUUUUCCUC
Long non-coding RNA from Eriocheir sinensis (Chinese mitten crab), 2507 nucleotides. RefSeq lists it as uncharacterized. Lineage: Eukaryota; Metazoa; Arthropoda; Malacostraca; Decapoda; Varunidae. The record is from RefSeq and is a predicted model, not a curated record. The transcript is spliced from 4 exons.